GGGAACAUAGCUGGUAGCUGAAACUGCAGGGUUACAGUGACAAUGAGUAGCUAGCUUUUGUCUAACUACCAGGAUUUGGGGAAAUGGAGUUCCCUUUGGACCGACAAUCUGUUGUAAGAGAUUGGCUGUUGGUAGUUAGAGGGACAUGACCUGAUGCCCUCAGGGUUCCUUGUGUGGCUCCCAUGACUACAGCUAGCUCACAGUCACAAGAUGGCUGCUCCUCCUCCAGCCUCCUGUCUUUAUUUCAGGAAAGAAGAGGAAGACUGGAAACAGGAAAGGGCCAGGCUCACAGCAGAGAAGCAACUUCUCACACACUGACUUGGCCUUAAAUCUUGUUGGCUGGACCACAAGAUUUCCUACAAAAAUGACCUACAAAGGACAUUUAGAAAUAAGCUCCACACCAAUGCUGCCCUCUGGGGUAAAAUUGGAAGUUCUGUUAGGGCAAAGAAGAGAAAGGAUGUUGUAUCAACACUGAGCGUCUCUACGGGGAGCUAUCCGCGCCCUCAAAAGAGUGUCACCAGGAUCUCUCUUCUGGAUUUUCCAUCCCUCCGUUUCAAGAAAUAUUUUCUAGUGUUAAAAACACAAGAGCCCAGCCCCUCCGCACAGUAGCAAGCCCUGGCCUCUGUGUCAUUAUGUCUCUGUGUGAAGAGCAGAGAGAAGGCUUCAGCCACGUUGCAGAGACUGCGCAUAGGAGCUGCGAACACUCAGGAGAGGGGCCCCAAGGCGGUAACUGUCAAGUGACACCCUAAAAAUAAGGAUAGUAAAGAGGGAAGGAGGUACACCUGCUCCCUGGUCUCAUUCCGGCUGGAGUACCACCAGGGACAGCAGGACUGCGAGGGGCUGGGGAGAGACUGGAAAGCCGAGUGGCCUGCUAAGAAUGGAGGCCUUAUCCCCAGAGCACAGCGACAGCCAUUGAAAACUUCUGAGUAGCAGGGGCUCUGAGCUGAUUUGCAUUUCCCAUGAUCCUCUUUGGCAGCCAGAUGAGAGAGCAAAGGGGUAAGAUCCAGAAAGAUUUCCAGGAGCAGAAAUACAAGCUUGGAUCACACAAGAGGUAGGGAGAAAAAAAAUUCAGGAAAUACUGCAAGGAGACGGCACUCCUGUGCUAGUGGUACACACGUCCGUGAGGACUCCCACCGCUCAGCUUGCACACGGCGUUUGCCACGUUCAUCCCCAGGAGAGGGGACCCAGAAGGACUAGCAGCCACAGGGGAAGCCAGUGGUGUCCUAAGAAUUCACUUUGAGUUCACCCAGUUUGAACUACAUACAGGUAAAGAUGGGCAGCUGGAUUCUAAAUAUUUAUCCUUAUGCCCACAGAUAAUUGUAGCUCUCGUCCCUCAUCAAAUAAACUUAUCUGUGCAGCAGAUGGACACCAUUACAGAAAACCACCACUGUUCAAAGUACAGAGAACAUGUGAUCAUGGGUGUUAAGUCCCACGGGAUACAUCUGUAACACAACUCUUACACUGAAGACUCAUGGAACAUUCCAGGAGAUGUGGCAGAGCAUUUGAUUCUAAGAGCCAGAGGACCAGGAAAUCUGCUGUGAGACUGUCUCCUAGAAACAAAAGGGAAGCUUCACUCUUGAUACCCAGCAACAUGGGUCUAAACAAGACCUGUGUGAGGAUGACAGCGGCAAACAUGCUAACACAGGGAGAAGAAAUCUCACAGGGCCUCGCCCAUAGGCAAAGAAUUAUAGGCAGCUAAGGAAUGCAGAGAGGGGGAGAAAUAAUCUUCCCCAAAGAGGAGCCUUAUACUUAGUUGCCCAGUGCCAAGUGGUCAGCGCUGGAAUCACAUCAAAUGGACUGAGCAGGUUACCUCCCCUGCUGUAUUUCCACCACGUAGGUCUCUUCUUCCUAGCAGUGACAUCUUUCUGGACUCUGUAGUGCAAGGCCAGCAUUCCAGGCUGGGGAGGAGUGGGGUGUGUGACCUAACUAAGCCAGCUGUGGAAGACCUCCCAGGGAGUCCUCAGGUCUUCCUUGUCCCCACCAUUCCACACGAAGCUCUGCAGCUCCAGGUCACACAGUCAUCUUGAAGCUGACCAAGAGUGCCUGCCAUUGGUGAAACUGCCUUGAUCCAACUUUGAAGAAGGACUCCGCCCUCCUGGACCUACACAUCUAAAGUGCUAGGCUUUGUGAUCCGAAGUGGGGCUACCUUCUUGGCCCCAUCCCACAAGUUCUCAGGCAAGUCACUUAACUUCCUCCUGCGGCUGGAUUCACAGGUAGCUUCAGCAGGUGCUGCCCCGCCCUCUUGGUCCCUCCCUGAAUGUAGCCAACUUGUUUUUCUUUGUUGGUUUCUGCCUUGCCUGGGGCCAAGUCCUCUCCACUAGCCUCCUUCCAGACCCAUGAUGUCCAGGCCCAGGUGCUCUCCACAGCAGGCAUAAUCUCCCUCUAACUUCAUGUGGAGAGCUUGGGAGUCUCUGCACCAGCCUCAAAUUCCAUUCUUCCUCCAGGGAUCCUAGGGUGGGUCUUACCUGCAGUAUGUAUACAUAUAAACACACACACACCACACACACACACACAUACACACACACACACACAUACACAUGAAGGAGAGAGACAAACAGAGACAGACAGACAGACAGAGACACACAAAAGACACACAGAGAAAGGAGAGAGCACUCCGUGACAACAGGCUUCCUCAGUCUCUCACAACACCUGCCUUCCCCCCCUGUCCUGUGUCUCUGUACUUUAUCCACCACAGAGUCAACCCUAGAAGUCCUCAUGAGGAGGCCUGAGGAUCCUUGCCUACUUCCUAGAUUUCCCACAAACACCUAGAUCAGCACCUGACCUCUCUGCAGCAAGCGUCCUGCCUGUGCCGUGUACCCUGUACCCUGGCUCUAGAUCUAGCUGGGCCCCUCUCUCCUCCGACCUUUGUUCCUCAGUCUCUCCUCAGCGUCCCCAGUCUCUUUCCCCUUUAUCUGUGGUGUCUGCCAUUCCUGGAAGGGCCUUGAACUCCCUAUCUUCCCUCCCCGCUUCCUCGCCUUCCCUGCCUUCCCCUCCUUGCCACAGUCCUAGCCCCUUAGUGUCAAGCCCUGAUUUUCCCACUUCUGAAGAGAUCGGUGCCCUGUUUUGCCAUUGCUACAUCCUCACUGCCUGGCUUGGUCUGACUUCCUACCAGGUGGCAUGUGACACUUCAGGACAGGGACCAAGUGCACACAAAAGUAGAAAGCAGGACACCACUGCAGACCACCCAACUGGGUGGAUCCAGUGGGCACCCGCCCCUCCUGGCCUCUCAAACACACGGGGUGAUGGGAGACAGACUUCCUGCACAUCUUUGUUCCCUUCUGAACACAGAUAGGGCAUUGGGACUGGACAGGGAUUUCCAGCCCUAUCUCAGAGUUCUGACCUCUUCCUGUUCCAGGGCACUUCACUUGGGCCUGGGACUGUAGCACACCUUGGACCAUAUCUGUGAAGGUGGGGUGAGUCACCUGAUGAGGUCACUGAAGGCCAGCCUCCUCCCAGUUCAGGGUCAAACGCACUGAGGGUGUGGUUCUUUGCAUUGGGUAUUUAAAAGAAAAUGCUUACUGUAUUAGCAUAGAGCUGGCAGAGGGGGCGUGGCCAGUGGCGGAGGGGGCGUGGCCAGUGGCAGAGGAGGCGUGGCCUGAGCAUAUCACAAAGGACUGUGAAUAUCAAACCCACAGGGGAUGCUGGGUUCCCUGCUCUGAGAACUUCCUUCUAGCCACAGUGGAAUUGGAAGUCUCUGAAGUACAUGGCUAGUAUUUGCCCCUCCUCAAGUCUGUCUCUCUUUUGAUGAAAGCACCUCCUGAUCCUCCUUCUUGGGACCAACACCCUCAACCACUCACAGGUUAGAAGGUAUAAGCGAGUAGAUGCCCAUUGAGGGGGACUUAGAACAGGCCAAGUCACCUUGGCCUCUGCUGAAGCAAACAGGUCGGUAUGUUUCUCUUGGGGAUGCCAGGAGUGGGAGGUACUGUCCUCAGUGUGAAGGUCUGAGGAGUACUGGAGAGUUAGUUCCCUAGGAAGGGCCAAUAAGAAAGGUAGGCAGAUGGGGCCACAGUGACUGCGACCUGUGGCCGUAUCUCGAGGCGCUGUGUCCCUCUUGGGUCACUGCAUCUGGACUUUGCAAUUCCGUGAGCUAAUAAAUUCUCUUUAUGGUUUAA
Long non-coding RNA from Apodemus sylvaticus (European woodmouse), 4112 nucleotides. RefSeq lists it as uncharacterized. The transcript has 2 exons. The record is from RefSeq and is a predicted model, not a curated record. NCBI's taxonomy places the organism in Eukaryota, Metazoa, Chordata, Mammalia, Rodentia, Muridae.